AAAAAUAAAAAGUAAUAAAAACGUAGGGAUGCUGAGAAACCAGAUCUUAUCAAGUGUUAACUCAAGCCUUCAGUGCUUCCUGAUGGUCUGAGUCACAGCCCUGUGGCCCAUCUCUCCUGCCACCUUCCUCUCUCUGUUCCACACCUCCCCCAGCUCAUGUGCUCCAGCCCUGGCCCCUUGCUGCUCCCAUGAGUGUCAAGCUCAUAUUCACGGGGCCUUUGCACAUGUGGUGGCCUUUUGCAGAAAAGGCAUGGAUCAUUCUCUCUAUUGACUCAGGUCGAGGUCGUGGCUCCCCUGACUAUCCUCCAGGAAGUUACCCACAGCCGCCUGGAAGCUAGGCUCCAGGAUCUCUGUCUACAGGUGGAGAAACUGGGACACAGAAAGUUGAAGGAGCUGAAUGGACCAACAGGAGGGCAGCCAGUGUCACAACCACAGAAAUCAUGGUCUGUCCCACAGGCAUCAUGAUACAGAGGCAGUCCUCACUCAGCCCCCAAGGCACUGAC
RNAcentral lists this long non-coding RNA (503 nucleotides) under Cricetulus griseus (Chinese hamster). RNAcentral's name for it is "lncRNA (ENSCGRG00000026377.1)". Lineage: Eukaryota; Metazoa; Chordata; Mammalia; Rodentia; Cricetidae. The record is from RNAcentral.